This is a long non-coding RNA of Portunus trituberculatus (swimming crab), 724 nucleotides long. RefSeq lists it as uncharacterized. The record is from RefSeq and is a predicted model, not a curated record. NCBI's taxonomy places the organism in Eukaryota, Metazoa, Arthropoda, Malacostraca, Decapoda, Portunidae. The transcript has 4 exons.
GAGAGAGAGAGAUGCGUUCCCUUCUGUUCUUCUUGGUGGUGGUGGUGGUGAUGGUGGCGGUGAGGGGCGAGGUGGUGAAGGAGGAAGGAAGGGAGGAGGUGAAGGAAGGGAAUACUGGGCAGAGUAGAGUCGAUUUAGAAAUGCUGGAAGAAGAAGAAGAAGAAGAAGGAGAAGAAGAACUAGAAGAAGUAGGAGAAGAAGAAGAAGAAGAAGGAGGAGAAGAACUAGAAGUAGGAGAAGAAGAAGAAGAAGAAGAACUAGAAGUAGGAGAAGAAGAAGGAGAAAAAGAAGAAGGAGAAGAAGAACUAGAAGAAGUAGGAGAAGAAGACGUAAUAGGAGGAGAAGAACUAGGAAGAGUAGAAGAAUUUGAAGAUUAUGACAAUGCAAGGAUAGAAGAGGCGGCCUUGAGGAAACAUAAGAACCGAUGCGAGAAGAAGGGGGGUUACUGCAAGCUUCCGAUGAGAGGUUGGUGCAAGACUAACUACAGCCCCUCGAACAACAGAAACUUGUGCGAUACGAAGGAUGAGAUUUGCUGUGUUAAGAAGACAGGCAAACCCAAGUGCGGCAUGAGCUCAAUCUGCACGAAAAAGGGCGGUUGGUGCAUGUCGAAGAAAGAGAAGUGCCAUGGGACCACGAUCAGCAAGCCAGGCAUUUGCGGCUCGAAGCAAUGUAUGUGCUGUGUGGAGAACAAGCCGCCAGGUGAUGAUGACAAUGAUGAUAAUAA